GGGUCAGUAGGUUGGUCGUGCCACAGGUACGUACUGGUCUCACUGAUUCCUCCUUCCUGAAGAACCGUAAUGCCAUUAAUUUGGUGUUGCGGGGAAACAGGACUGUUACUUUGAAAAAAUUAGAGUGUUUAAAGCAUGCUAACGCUUGAAUACAUUAGCAUGGAAUAAUGAAAUAGGACGAUCGAUCCUAUUUUGUUGGUUUCUAGGAUUGACGUA
Molecule: ribosomal RNA, 216 nt
Filed under: Glomeromycotina sp.
Lineage: Eukaryota; Fungi; Glomeromycota
Description: partial small subunit ribosomal RNA
Rfam family: Eukaryotic small subunit ribosomal RNA (bases 40-216)
Source: RNAcentral